UUUUUUCUGCAAAAUUUUUCUUCUGAUAAGAACCAAUUGUUUGUUUAUCUAGUGGCCUUGUACUACAUCAUCCUACAGUCAAAAGCAGUUUUGGGUGACCACAAACAGAGACACCAAAUAUUUCCUGGAAUUUCUAUCAUCUUUUCUCAAUUCAGUUAAAAAAAGAAAAACUGCAGGAACAGAGUAUUUUCUACAUUUAACAAAAGCUUAUAAGAAGUAUCAAAGAACUUUAUACGAUUUCAAAUUCAAGUUUCAAUCAAAACAAUAUUAAAAAAAAAAA
This 280-nucleotide unclassified non-coding RNA is filed under the name Hevea brasiliensis (rubber tree). Lineage: Eukaryota; Viridiplantae; Streptophyta; Magnoliopsida; Malpighiales; Euphorbiaceae. The record is from RNAcentral.